This 404-nucleotide unclassified non-coding RNA is filed under the name soil metagenome. RNAcentral's name for it is "partial contains 5.8S ribosomal RNA, internal transcribed spacer 2, and large subunit ribosomal RNA". The stretch from base 1 to 122 matches the Rfam family "5.8S ribosomal RNA", at positions 35 to 154 of the family's 154-position model. The record is from RNAcentral.
GAUGAAGAACGCAGCAAAAUGCGAUACUUGGUGUGAAUUGCAGAAUCCCGUGAACCAUCGAGUUUUUGAACGCAAGUUGCGCCCGAAGCCUUUUGGCCGAGGGCACGUCUGCCUGGGUGUCACGCAUCGCGUCGCCCCCCACAAUUCUCCGUAAAGGGAACGUGUGUUUUGGGGGCGGAUAUUGGUCUCCCGUGCUCAUGGCGUGGUUGGCCGAAAUAGGAGUCCUUUCGAUGGACGCACGAACUAGUGGUGGUCGUAAAAACCCUCGUCUUUUGUUUCGUGCUGUUGCUCGCAAGGUAAACUCUUUAAAAACCCCAAUGUGUCGUCUCUUGACGACGCUUCGACCGCGACCCCAGGUCAGGCGGGACUACCCGCUGAGUUUAAGCAUAUCAAUAAGCGGAGGA